This 305-nucleotide ribosomal RNA is filed under the name uncultured bacterium. RNAcentral's name for it is "bacterial SSU rRNA". It matches the Rfam family "Bacterial small subunit ribosomal RNA", at positions 29 to 334 of the family's 1533-position model. The record is from RNAcentral.
AACGAACGCUGGCGGCAUGCUUAACACAUGCAAGUCGAACGAGAAAAGUCCUUCGGGGCUGAGUAGAGUGGCGAACGGGUGAGUAACGCGUAGAUAACCUACCCUUUAAUCUGGGAUAACUUUCCGAAAGGAGAGCUAAUACCGGGUAAAACAAUGAUUCGAGUGGGUCGUUGUUGAAAGCUCCGGCGUUAGAGGAUGGGUCUGCGUUCCAUUAGCUUGUUGGUGAGGUAACGGCUCACCAAGGCUUCGAUGGAUAGCGGGUCUGAGAGGAUGAUCCGCCACACUGGCACUGAGACACGGGCCAG